AUUGAACGCUGGCGGCAGGCCUAACACAUGCAAGUCGAGCGGAUGAAGGGAGCUUGCUCCUGGAUUCAGCGGCGGACGGGUGAGUAAUGCCUAGGAAUCUGCCUGGUAGUGGGGGAUAACGUCCGGAAACGGGCGCUAAUACCGCAUACGUCCUGAGGGAGAAAGUGGGGGAUCUUCGGACCUCACGCUAUCAGAUGAGCCUAGGUCGGAUUAGCUAGUUGGUGGGGUAAAGGCCUACCAAGGCGACGAUCCGUAACUGGUCUGAGAGGAUGAUCAGUCACACUGGAACUGAGACACGGUCCAGACUCCUACGGGAGGCCGCAGUGGGGAAUAUUGGACGAUGGGCGAAAGCCUGAUCCAGCCCUGCCGCGUGUGUGAAGAAGGUCUUCGGAUUGUAAAGCACUUUAAGUUGGGAGGAAGGGCAGUAAGUUAAUACCUUGCUGUUUUGACGGUACCAACAGAAUGAGCACCGGCUAACUUCGUG
RNAcentral lists this ribosomal RNA (484 nucleotides) under uncultured bacterium. RNAcentral's name for it is "partial 16S ribosomal RNA". It matches the Rfam family "Bacterial small subunit ribosomal RNA", at positions 30 to 507 of the family's 1533-position model. The record is from RNAcentral.